GACGAACGCUGGCGGCGUGCUUAACACAUGCAAGUCGAACGGAAAGGCCCUGCUUUUGUGGGGUGCUCGAGUGGCGAACGGGUGAGUAACACGUGAGUAACCUGCCCUUGACUUUGGGAUAACUUCAGGAAACUGGGGCUAAUACCGGAUAGGAGCUCCUGCUGCAUGGUGGGGGUUGGAAAGUUUCGGCGGUUGGGGAUGGACUCGCGGCUUAUCAGCUUGUUGGUGGGGUAGUGGCUUACCAAGGCUGUGACGGGUAGCCGGCCUGGGAGGGUGACCGGCCACAUUGGGACUGGGAUACGGCCCAGACUCCUACGGGAGGCAGCAGUGGGGAAUAUUGCACAAUGGGCGGAGGCCUGAUGCAGCAACGCCGCGUGCGGGAGGACGGCCUUCGGGUUGUAAACCGCUUUCGCCUGUGACGAAGCGUGAGUGACGGUAAUGGGUAAAGAAGCACCGGCUAACUACGU
Molecule: ribosomal RNA, 467 nt
Filed under: uncultured bacterium
Lineage: Bacteria
Description: partial 16S ribosomal RNA
Rfam family: Bacterial small subunit ribosomal RNA
Source: RNAcentral